RNAcentral lists this transfer RNA (69 nucleotides) under Coccothraustes coccothraustes (hawfinch). Its description in RNAcentral is "tRNA-Lys". It matches the Rfam family "tRNA". Rfam says of the family: Transfer RNA (tRNA) molecules are approximately 80 nucleotides in length. Their secondary structure includes four short double-helical elements and three loops (D, anti-codon, and T loops). Lineage: Eukaryota; Metazoa; Chordata; Aves; Passeriformes; Fringillidae. The record is from RNAcentral.
CAUUAAGAAGCUAUGUACCAGCAUUAGCCUUUUAAGCUAAAGAAAGAGGACAAACACCCUCCUUAAUGA